Molecule: ribosomal RNA, 591 nt
Filed under: uncultured Burkholderia sp.
Lineage: Bacteria; Pseudomonadati; Pseudomonadota; Betaproteobacteria; Burkholderiales; Burkholderiaceae
Description: bacterial SSU rRNA
Rfam family: Bacterial small subunit ribosomal RNA
Source: RNAcentral
UCGGGUUGUAAAGCACUUUUGUCCGGAAAGAAAACGCGUGCCCUAAUACGGUGUGUGGAUGACGGUACCGGAAGAAUAAGCACCGGCAACUACGUGCCAGCAGCCGCGGUAAUACGUAGGGUGCGAGCGUUAAUCGGAAUUACUGGGCGUAAAGCGUGCGCAGGCGGUUUGCUAAGACCGAUGUGAAAUCCCCGGGCUUAACCUGGGAACUGCAUUGGUGACUGGCAGGCUAGAGUAUGGCAGAGGGGGGUAGAAUUCCACGUGUAGCAGUGAAAUGCGUAGAGAUGUGGAGGAAUACCGAUGGCGAAGGCAGCCCCCUGGGCCAAUACUGACGCUCAUGCACGAAAGCGUGGGGAGCAAACAGGAUUAGAUACCCUGGUAGUCCACGCCCUAAACGAUGUCAACUAGUUGUUGGGGAUUCAUUUCCUUAGUAACGUAGCUAACGCGUGAAGUUGACCGCCUGGGGAGUACGGUCGCAAGAUUAAAACUCAAAGGAAUUGACGGGGACCCGCACAAGCGGUGGAUGAUGUGGAUUAAUUCGAUGCAACGCGAAAAACCUUACCUACCCUUGACAUGGACGGAAGGCCGCUG